CCUACGGGUGACAGCAGUGGGGAAUAUUGCACAAUGGGGGAAACCCUGAUGCAGCGACGCCGCGUGAGUGAAGAAGUUUUUCGGUAUGUAAAGCCCUAUUAGCCGGGAAGAAAAUGACGGUACCUGACUAAGAAGCACCGGCUAACUACGUGCCAGCAGCCGCGGUAAUACGUAGGGGGCAAGCGUUAUCCGGAUUUACUGGGUGUAAAGGGAGCGUAGACGGGAGCACAAGUCUGGAGUGAAAUGCCGGGGCUUAACCCCGGAACUGCUUUGGAAACUGUGCAGCUAGAGUGAGGGAGAGGUAGGUGGAAUUCGUGGUGUAGCGGUGAAAUGCGUAGAUAUUAAGAGGAACACCAGUGGCGAAGGCGGCUUACUGGACUGUAACUGACGUUGAGGCGCGAAAGCGUGGGGAGCAAACAGGAUUAGAUACCCCUGUAGUC
RNAcentral lists this ribosomal RNA (440 nucleotides) under uncultured bacterium. Its description in RNAcentral is "partial 16S ribosomal RNA". It matches the Rfam family "Bacterial small subunit ribosomal RNA", at positions 338 to 795 of the family's 1533-position model. The record is from RNAcentral.